RNAcentral lists this ribosomal RNA (459 nucleotides) under uncultured bacterium. Its description in RNAcentral is "partial 16S ribosomal RNA". It matches the Rfam family "Bacterial small subunit ribosomal RNA", at positions 338 to 795 of the family's 1533-position model. The record is from RNAcentral.
CCUACGGGUGGCAGCAGUGAGGAAUAUUGGUCAAUGGCCGAGAGCCUGAACCAGCCAAGUCGCGUGAAGGAUGACGGCCCUACGGGUUGUAAACCUCUUUUGUCGGGGAGUAAAGCGACUCACGUGUGGCGCUUUGUAUGUACCCUAAGAAUAAGCAUCGGCUAAUUCCGUGCCAGCAGCCGCGGUAAUACGGAGGAUGCGAGCGUUAUCCGGAUUUAUUGGGUUUAAAGGGAGCGCAGGCGGUGGUGUAAGUCAGCGGUAAAAUUGCGGGGCUCAACCCCGUCGUGCCGUUGAAACUGUAUCACUUGAGUGUGCGAGAGGUAUGCGGAAUGCGUGGUGUAGCGGUGAAAUGCAUAGAUAUCACGAAGAACUCCGAUCGCGAAGGCAGCAUACCGGCGCAAAACUGACGCUCAGGCACGAAAGCGUGGGUAUCGAACAGGAUUAGAUACCCGAGUAGUC